CUGCUGGACUGGGGAAUCCCCACUGUAAACUGGAGACUCUGAGGCUAAAAUACAUGAGAGCCUUGUGUCAAAAGGGUGGGCCAGGAGGAGCGCAAGAUAGAGAGCAGAAGGUAAGAAUCACAUAAUAAGUCAGGAUUGAGAGAAGAUAGAAGUGAUACAGAAUUGUUAGAUAACAGUUACUGAGUGGAGAGCAGCAUAGUUAAGUUUUAGGCAGGUAUAGAUGCAAACUGAAUUGUAGAAGUGAGAACUUAACCUGGGGUCCACUUAGACGUGGGGCCCGAUUAAUGCCAGGAUGAUUUGUUUUUAAAUUAGGAACAGGAAGAAGAGUUAAAAGCGGUACCCUCCAUGUUAGGGUCCCAAGGACCUAUUGAUGUGGGGUUAAUUAAAGGAGUUAUUUUAGUAUAAGUAGUCCUGAAGUCAAAUUUGAGAUUUUAUUAAAAGUAAUUAUUAGUAAUUUAGGAAAAUUUGGGCAGAGCCAUGUGUCAAAAGGGGGGAUAGUAGAGCAGGUUCGGAAACACUUUGUGGCCUAUUGGAUAACGAACUACUUAAAAAACAUUUUUUUUAUAGAUAAGUAUAUUAAAUGGGAAGAAGCGGUCCCAACUUACUGGUUGGACACAAUUAGGGUAGUUGAUUUACUAGGAUCUAUCUCUUUAAAUAAUGGAUUACAUUUUAGCUGAUCAGGUAAACCAUAUAGAAUGCCAGAGUUAGGGAGGCCAGAACAGGUAGACAUAGAAGUUGAAGAUAUACUAACAGAACACAUGGUUAACCAAACCCGUAUGUCCGAGACUUUGUGUCCAACAGGUGAAUUACAGGAGAAGAUGAUUCACUCAAUCCAACCAGGAGACUGGGUGUGGAUCCAGUCCCUGAGGAGAA
Non-coding RNA from Salmo salar (Atlantic salmon), 873 nucleotides. The record is from RefSeq and is a predicted model, not a curated record. Lineage: Eukaryota; Metazoa; Chordata; Actinopteri; Salmoniformes; Salmonidae.